Molecule: ribosomal RNA, 449 nt
Filed under: uncultured bacterium
Lineage: Bacteria
Description: partial 16S ribosomal RNA
Rfam family: Bacterial small subunit ribosomal RNA
Source: RNAcentral
AACGAACGCUGGCAGCAUGCCUAACACAUGCAAGUCGAACGAGAUCUUCGGGUCUAGUGGCGCACGGGUGCGUAACGCGUGGGAAUCUGCCCUUUGGUUCGGAAUAACAGUUGGAAACGACUGCUAAUACCGGAUGAUGACGAAAGUCCAAAGAUUUAUCGCCAGAGGAUGAGCCCGCGUAGGAUUAGCUAGUUGGUGUGGUAAAGGCGCACCAAGGCGACGGUCCUUAGCUGGUCUGAGAGGAUGAUCAGCCACACUGGGACUGAGACACGGCCCAGACUCCUACGGGAGGCAGCAGUGGGGAAUAUUGGACAAUGGGCGAAAGCCUGAUCCAGCAAUGCCGCGUGAGUGAUGAAGGCCUUAGGGUUGUAAAGCUCUUUUACCCGGGAUGAUAAUGACAGUACCGGGAGAAUAAGCUCCGGCUAACUACGUGCCAGCAGCCGCCGUAA